This 497-nucleotide ribosomal RNA is filed under the name uncultured bacterium. RNAcentral describes it as "partial 16S ribosomal RNA". It matches the Rfam family "Bacterial small subunit ribosomal RNA", at positions 28 to 507 of the family's 1533-position model. The record is from RNAcentral.
GAUGAACGCUGGCGGCGUGCCUAAUACAUGCAAGUCGAGCGAACAGGCGAGGAUCUUGCGCCUCUGACGUUAGCCGCGGAGGGGUGAGUAACACGUGGAUAACCUACCUAUCAGACUGGGAUAACUUCGGAAAACCGGAGCUAAUACCGGAGAAUAUAUUGAACCACAUGGUUCAAUAGUGAAAGACGGUUGUUCUGUCUCUUAUAGAUGGUUCCGCGCCUCAUGAGCUGGUUGGUAAGGUAACGGCCUACCAAGGCAACGAGGCGUAGACGAGGUGAGGGGGUGGUAGGCCACACUGGAACUGAGCCACGGACCAGGCUACUACGGGAGGCAGCAGUAGGGAAUCGUCCGCAAUGGGCGAAAGCAUGACGGAGUAACGCCGCGUGAGUGGUGAAGGUCUUCGGAUCGUAAAACCCUGUUAUUAGGUAAGAACAAAUGUGUCAGUAACUAUGCACGUAUUGACGGUACCUAAUCAGAAAGCCACGGCUAACUACGUG